Molecule: ribosomal RNA, 520 nt
Filed under: Fusarium oxysporum
Lineage: Eukaryota; Fungi; Ascomycota; Sordariomycetes; Hypocreales; Nectriaceae
Description: eukaryotic LSU rRNA
Rfam family: 5.8S ribosomal RNA (bases 148-301)
Source: RNAcentral
UGCCUCCGCUUCACUCCCAACCCCUGUGACAUACCACUUGUUGCCUCGGCGGAUCAGCCCGCUCCCGGUAAAACGGGACGGCCCGCCAGAGGACCCCUAAACUCUGUUUCUAUAUGUAACUUCUGAGUAAAACCAUAAAUAAAUCAAAACUUUCAACAACGGAUCUCUUGGUUCUGGCAUCGAUGAAGAACGCAGCAAAAUGCGAUAAGUAAUGUGAAUUGCAGAAUUCAGUGAAUCAUCGAAUCUUUGAACGCACAUUGCGCCCGCCAGUAUUCUGGCGGGCAUGCCUGUUCGAGCGUCAUUUCAACCCUCAAGCACAGCUUGGUGUUGGGACUCGCGUUAAUUCGCGUUCCCCAAAUUGAUUGGCGGUCACGUCGAGCUUCCAUAGCGUAGUAGUAAAACCCUCGUUACUGGUAAUCGUCGCGGCCACGCCGUUAAACCCCAACUUCUGAAUGUUGACCUCGGAUCAGGUAGGAAUACCCGCUGAACUUAAGCAUAUCAGAAGACCGGGAAGAUAUUU